AUACAGAACAAGUGGCUCCUCAGGGUCACCC
RNAcentral lists this non-coding RNA (31 nucleotides) under Mus musculus (house mouse). The record is from RNAcentral. Lineage: Eukaryota; Metazoa; Chordata; Mammalia; Rodentia; Muridae.